Molecule: long non-coding RNA, 670 nt
Organism: Amphiprion ocellaris (clown anemonefish)
Lineage: Eukaryota; Metazoa; Chordata; Actinopteri; Pomacentridae
Exons: 2
Source: RefSeq, a predicted model, not a curated record
CACAGGUCAGUAGCGCUUGGCUCUAUUAAAAUAACCUUUCUAACAUCAAAAAUACUCAUCCGAUGGUUAUGUUCUUUUUAGUCCUUGCCUACCGCGGGAGUAGGAGCCGUUUGGCCGCGGUAUAUGUCGGGAUUGUCAAGGGAAUUGGCCAGGUCCCCUUGCAUCCUGUUGGGGUAAUCCCCAGAUGGCAAGCUAAGUUACCUGGAGUCCCAGAACCUCGGUCUACACCUUCUGCUGGUACUGGUAGGAGGCUGUGGCAGCCUUUAUCCACCCCCCACGUUUACUCACACCCACUCACUCGCACACUCGAGGCCUGAGGCCUAUAGCCUAUGGCCCAUGGACAUUGGACAACUUGUGUGUGGGACUUUCAAGGACUCUUUGAAUCAUACCCGGUCGGAAUGAACUGAACAACCUGUCCAGACCGAACUGUGCAGUCCUAAAUCCAUCCAUGCGUGUGACUAGAUCCCAAACUGGUUUCCCCAUUGUGGGCUGAGCUGUUUUUUUGUAUUUUUGAUUAUUAUUUUGUAAAUACUCCACUCAAGUGCACUUAAAUAAUAUCUCUGCAGAUUGUAAAUAUUUGGGUUUUCUGUUUCUGGUUAUAACUUCUGGUUAUAUUAUAUUUUGUAUGUCAAAAUUCACUUUAAUAUAUGGUACCAACACCAACUUUGAA